This is a long non-coding RNA of Polyodon spathula (Mississippi paddlefish), 925 nucleotides long. RefSeq lists it as uncharacterized. The record is from RefSeq and is a predicted model, not a curated record. The transcript is spliced from 3 exons. NCBI's taxonomy places the organism in Eukaryota, Metazoa, Chordata, Actinopteri, Acipenseriformes, Polyodontidae.
AAAUAUUGAAUUCUGAUUAAUUGUAUUCCCUAUACACAGUGCCGUAAGCAGUGUUAAAUGUGGAAUUUACAGUCAUUUACAGCACAAGUGUUCAGUGGAACAAAAUUAGAUCGUUUGUUUGUUUGUUUGUUUUUUAAAACGAGCUGGUUGUAGAUAUUGCAGUUGAAGUACAGUACCUGUGCGGAUAUAUUGUGCGCUGCAGCAUAUUGUAUCCGGAUUCAUUAUUGGAAAACAAUGACUUCGUCCAAAGUUCGGUAUCUAAUACUUUUCCAGUAUUGCGGUACUAAAUAUAGUGGUGUAAUGAAGACGCCAACACACCAAAACAUCCUCAGAGUUCAGAAUUACCUGGAGGUGUGCUAAUAACAAGACUGCUUCCAGCUGCUCAGGUGAACACAUGUGUAACUGGAGGUGUGCUAAUAACAAGACUGCUUCCAGCUGCUCAGGUGAACACAUGUUUAACUGGAGGUGUGCUAAUAACAAGACUGCUUCCAACUGCUCAGGUGAACACAUGUUUAACUGGAGGUGUGCUAAUAACAAGACUGCUUCCAGCUGCUCAGGUGAACACAUGUUUAACUGGAGGUGUGUUAAUAACAAGACUGCUUCCAGCUGCUCAGGUGAACACAUGUUUAACUGGAGGUGUGUUAAUAACAAGACUGCUUCCAGCUGCUCAGGUGAACACAUGUUUAACUGGAGGUGUGCUAAUAACAAGACUGCUUCCAACUGCUCAGGUGAACACAUGUUUAACUGGAGGUGUGUUAAUAACAAGACUGCUUCCAGCUGCUCAGAAGGCUAACCUCCGGGAGCUGCAGCUAAACCGCCAGCAAUUAAACUCGGACUGCACUCUACCAUUGAGCACGAAUAAACCUGUAAAUCAGCACUGUCACUAACAGCACUCACUCUGGACUUGUGACCGUGUUGUGUUUGU